AUUCCGUGUUGAGGACACUCCAUUUUGUACUCCUUAAAUCUAUCCCAAGCUUAAAAUAGGGAUUCAUCACGUUUUUUCUCAAAGGAUUGAAUCUUAGGCCGGUACU
Molecule: non-coding RNA, 106 nt
Organism: Spinacia oleracea (spinach)
Lineage: Eukaryota; Viridiplantae; Streptophyta; Magnoliopsida; Caryophyllales; Amaranthaceae
Source: Rfam